This 253-nucleotide ribosomal RNA is filed under the name uncultured bacterium. Its description in RNAcentral is "partial 16S ribosomal RNA". It matches the Rfam family "Bacterial small subunit ribosomal RNA", at positions 524 to 776 of the family's 1533-position model. The record is from RNAcentral.
UACGUAGGGUGCGAGCGUUAAUCGGAAUUACUGGGCGUAAAGCGUGCGCAGGCGGUUUUGUAAGCCAGAUGUGAAAUCCCCGGGCUUAACCUGGGAAUGGCAUUUGGGACUGCAAGGCUGGAGUGCGGCAGAGGAGACUGGAAUUCCUGGUGUAGCAGUGAAAUGCGUAGAUAUCAGGAGGAAUACCGAUGGCGAAGGCAGGUCUCUGGGCUGACACUGACGCUCAUGCACGAAAGCGUGGGGAGCAAAAGGG